RNAcentral lists this ribosomal RNA (408 nucleotides) under Anaerocolumna cellulosilytica. Its description in RNAcentral is "partial 23S ribosomal RNA". It matches the Rfam family "Bacterial large subunit ribosomal RNA", at positions 1 to 414 of the family's 2925-position model. Lineage: Bacteria; Bacillati; Bacillota; Clostridia; Lachnospirales; Lachnospiraceae. The record is from RNAcentral.
GGUCAAGCUAAUAAGAGCGCAGGGUGGAUGCCUUGGCACUAAGAGCCGAUGAAAGACGUGAUAAGCUGCGAUAAGCUGCGGUGAGGAGCAAAUAUCCUUUGACCCGCAGAUUUCUGAAUGGGGAAACCUGGCGGAGUAAACCUCCGUUACUGUAUGGUGAAUACAUAGCCAUGCAGGGGGAACCCGGGGAACUGAAACAUCUAAGUACCCGGAGGAAAAGAAAGAAAACUCGAUUUCCUGAGUAGUGGCGAGCGAAAGGGAAAGAGCCUAAACCGAAGGAUUUAUCCUUCGGGGUUAAGGACCGCAACAAGUGAGUCGUAUGGUAGCAGAACGGUUUUGGGAAAGCCGGCUAUAGAGAGUGAAAGCCUCGUAUGCGAAACCAGAAGACAGCGAGCGGUAUCCAAAGUA